ACUUUUUUACUUUCUUGAAAUUAUGUUUGGGUUACUGUCUUUUUGUUUUGAAUAAAAAAAAGUAUUUUUUAUUAUUUUAUUCCACAAAUAUUUAGAAAAUUGCAGGGUGUGAGCCAUUAAGAUGAAAUUGAAAAGAGCAAAAAUAUCUCGGGAAAGAGUAAAGGCGAGAGAUCAGGACGAGAGUGAUGGGAGAAGCACCGAUUGAGGCGGAUGACCGGGAUUGUUGCGACGGUUGUCGUGUAGCUCAUGAAGAAGCUCAAAUUCAUAGAGAGGAUCCAUUUUUCUUCUUUACCACAUUGUGGUGGUUUACACACUGUCAUGCUUUCAACUUUGAAGACUGUUAGCACGGUUGAAAAGUUUUUUUAGCAGUGUUGGUAAGAAUAGUGUGAUAUAGAAUCAUCAAAAGGUUGAAUGUGGAAACUCUAUUUCAUGACAAGUCUUUCUUCACCAGUGCUUCAUCUGUUAUAACUAUUACCCAAAUGAGGUUCUUUCUAUUAUAUGAUACUCUUUUGUUAUUUUUAUUGUUAUACAUGCUUUGUGUUGUUCCUAAUUGUUGUAUCUUGAUUCUCUCAUCUACUCAUUUUGCCUUACUAUUAUCUUGCACAGAUCAUUGACAGAAGAAUAUGAUUUUUGAGAAGGCAAAACUAUUCUUUUUGCAUGUUUAGUUGAUGGAUGAAGGGUGAAAGUUUGUGAUAAAUAGAACAUGCUUAUAAAGAAACAAUAGAAAAUAAUUCACUAUAAUAAAAUAAUGAUAUUUUAACUACUAAAUUUUAACAACU
Molecule: long non-coding RNA, 779 nt
Organism: Vigna unguiculata (cowpea)
Lineage: Eukaryota; Viridiplantae; Streptophyta; Magnoliopsida; Fabales; Fabaceae
Source: RefSeq, a predicted model, not a curated record